UUUAAGUGUAACCAUAAGUUUCCGCGUUUAACUUUGAUCGUUCGUCUUAUUUGAAAAUUUUUUAUAAUUAGCAUUUUUAUUGUUGUGAGAUAAUAAAACAUGAUACUUUACUCGUGACUUAUGUUUUUAAUUUUUUUUAAUAAUUUUUCAAAUAAGAUGGAUGGUCAAAAUUGAACGCGGAAAACAUGGCUGCACUUGAA
This is a non-coding RNA of Oryza nivara, 200 nucleotides long. The record is from Rfam. Lineage: Eukaryota; Viridiplantae; Streptophyta; Magnoliopsida; Poales; Poaceae.